Roridomyces roridus is the source of this 89-nucleotide non-coding RNA. Lineage: Eukaryota; Fungi; Basidiomycota; Agaricomycetes; Agaricales; Mycenaceae. The record is from the annotation of a GenBank genome assembly.
GGGCAUGUAGUAUAGUUGGUUAUUGCGUCCGCUUCGCAUCCCGGCGAAAUCUAUGCGCAAGGUCUGGCGUUCGAAUCGCCACUUGUCCA